UAGGUAGUUUCAUGUUGUUGGGCCUGGGUCUCUGAACACAACGACAUGGAACCACCUGAC
Molecule: microRNA precursor, 60 nt
Filed under: Oryctolagus cuniculus (rabbit)
Lineage: Eukaryota; Metazoa; Chordata; Mammalia; Lagomorpha; Leporidae
Description: microRNA ocu-mir-196a precursor (ocu-mir-196a-1)
Gene: ocu-mir-196a-1
Source: miRBase by way of RNAcentral